UAGUCCACGCCGUAAACGAUGAGUGCUAGGUGUUGGGGGGUUCCACCCUCAGUGCUGAAGUUAACACAUUAAGCACUCCGCCUGGGGAGUACGACCGCAAGGUUGAAACUCAAAGGAAUUGACGGGGGCCCGCACAAGCAGUGGAGCAUGUGGUUUAAUUCGAAGCAACGCGAAGAACCUUACCAGGUCUUGACAUCCUCUGACAAUCCUGGAGACAGGACGUUCCCCUUCGGGGGACAGAGUGACAGGUGGUGCAUGGUUGUCGUCAGCUCGUGUCGUGAGAUGUUGGGUUAAGUCCCGCAACGAGCGCAACCCUUGAUCUUAGUUGCCAGCAUUCAGUUGGGCACUCUAAGGUGACUGCCGGUGACAAACCGGAGGAAGGUGGGGAUGACGUCAAAUCAUCAUGCCCCUUAUGACCUGGGCUACACACGUGCUACAAUGGACGGUACAAAGGGCAGCAACACCGCGAGGUGAAGCAAAUCCCAUAAAGCCGUUCUCAGUUCGGAUUGCAGGCUGCAACUCGCCUGCAUGAAGCCGGAAUUGCUAGUAAUCGCGGAUCAGCAUGCCGCGGUGAAUACGUUCCCGGGCCUUGUACACACCGCCCGUCACACCACGAGAGUUUGUAACACCCGAAGUCGGUGGGGUAAC
This 648-nucleotide ribosomal RNA is filed under the name Guptibacillus hwajinpoensis. Its description in RNAcentral is "bacterial SSU rRNA". It matches the Rfam family "Bacterial small subunit ribosomal RNA", at positions 791 to 1439 of the family's 1533-position model. The record is from RNAcentral. Lineage: Bacteria; Bacillati; Bacillota; Bacilli; Caryophanales; Guptibacillaceae.